CUGUAGGCUGCAACUCGCCUACACGAAGUCGGAAUCGCUAGUAAUCGCGGAUCAGCAUGCCGCGGUGAAUACGUUCCCGGGCCUUGUACACACCGCCCGUCACACCAUGGGAGUUUGUAACACCCAAAGUCGGUGGCCUAACCUUUAUGGAGGGAGCCGCCUAAGGCGGGACAGAUGACUGGGGUGAAGUCGUAACAAGGUAUC
This 204-nucleotide ribosomal RNA is filed under the name uncultured bacterium. Its description in RNAcentral is "partial 16S ribosomal RNA". It matches the Rfam family "Bacterial small subunit ribosomal RNA", at positions 1298 to 1500 of the family's 1533-position model. The record is from RNAcentral.